This 207-nucleotide ribosomal RNA is filed under the name uncultured bacterium. Its description in RNAcentral is "partial 16S ribosomal RNA". It matches the Rfam family "Bacterial small subunit ribosomal RNA", at positions 568 to 774 of the family's 1533-position model. The record is from RNAcentral.
AGCGUAGGCGGCGCGGUAAGUCAGAUGUGAAAUCCCGGGGCUCAACCCCGGAACUGCAUCCGAUACUGCCGUGCUAGAGGAUUGGAGAGGUAGCUGGAAUUCUUGGUGUAGCAGUGAAAUGCGUGGAGAUCAAGAGGAACACUCGUGGCGAAAGCGAGCUACUGGACAAUAUCUGACGCUGAGGCUCGAAGGCCAGGGUAGCGAAAG